CCUACGGGAGGCAGCAGUGAGGAAUAUUGGUCAAUGGACGCAAGUCUGAACCAGCCAUGCCGCGUGCAGGAAGACGGCUCUAUGAGUUGUAAACUGCUUUUGUACGAGGGUAAACGCAGAUACGCGUAUCUGUCUGAAAGUAUCGUACGAAUAAGGAUCGGCUAACUCCGUGCCAGCAGCCGCGGUAAUACGGAGGAUUCAAGCGUUAUCCGGAUUUAUUGGGUUUAAAGGGUGCGCAGGCGGCCUGUUAAGUCAGCGGUAAAAGCCCGGGGCUCAACCCCGGCGAGCCGUUGAAACUGGCGGGCUGGAGUUGGAGAGAAGUACGCGGAAUGCGCGGUGUAGCGGUGAAAUGCUUAGAUAUCGCGCAGAACCCCGAUUGCGAAGGCAGCGUACCGGCUCCACACUGACGCUGAGGCACGAAAGCGUGGGUAUCGAACAGGAUUAGAUACCCUUGUAGUC
RNAcentral lists this ribosomal RNA (459 nucleotides) under uncultured bacterium. RNAcentral describes it as "partial 16S ribosomal RNA". It matches the Rfam family "Bacterial small subunit ribosomal RNA", at positions 338 to 795 of the family's 1533-position model. The record is from RNAcentral.